UUUCAGAUCCGGCUGUCGUGGUCGAAGCUCAGGUUUCUUUGGGAAGCCCCUAUCCACCUGGUCUUCAUUUACAGUUGAACUACAUCCAGGAUUGGUUGCAGCCUUAGAAGGAAGAAGGUAAGCAGUACCCAAAAACAUGAAAUGAGAGCGCUUGAACAGUGUAAAGUUUGUCGCAUAGACGGGGAUUGACCGCCUUUAUGUAUAUAUAAGUCUACAACUUCUCAGAUUUGACUGAAGACAAUUGUUUGGUGUUGGGAAUAGAGAAAUAUAUUCAAGGUAAGGCAGUUUUCCAAAAACGCAACAAGAAGUUCACAUUUGUUGCACAGAUUUGUGUCUCACAUGUAUGGAGUUGAAGGAAUAGUUAUAGAAAAAGGGUACAGAAUAUGUAAGGAUAUGGUAUGUUCCUGCUGAAAAAAAUUAGAUAGCCAAACAUCUUCCCCAGGAUUCGAUGCAGUAACCUUCUGAUAGAAAGAUGUACCCGUUGUGCAACGGGGAUAAGCUGGCUUGGUGACAGAUUGUCUAACAGGAAAAAGAAAAGGAAAAUGGCCCCAGGAAAGACAAGCUACAGUAGAUACAAGAUGCCAAGGACAAGAAUGUCUGUUAUUCAUGGAAACAUCAGAGUUCAGCAGGUUCUUGAAACAGGUAAUUUGAUAAUCUGUCAAUUAACAACAUCAUGGUAUAUGUUGGAUGCAUUAAUUUUAUCAGUAAGUGUGAUAACAAAUAUAAGGCAUUGAAUCAACUUUUAUUUCAUCUAUAUAAAUUGUUAAUAUUUUCAUACUGCAAUAUAACAUAGU
Molecule: long non-coding RNA, 794 nt
Organism: Mercenaria mercenaria
Lineage: Eukaryota; Metazoa; Mollusca; Bivalvia; Venerida; Veneridae
Exons: 5
Source: RefSeq, a predicted model, not a curated record